GGUAUAAUCAAAAAUCUACAAUCCUACAGAGCCUCAUCAGUGCUCUACUGAGUCAAUGUCCAUAAAACAUUAACAGCAUUUUGAGGAAGUGAUUUCACCAGUAACCGGAAAAAGGUUAGAGUUACACUCAUCAAGAAAUAGUGGAAAUAACUAAAGAGAAACUAGCGCUUGGACUGAAAACAACCCAAUUUGUGACAUGCAGACUCAAAGAAUUUGGCUUUUUCUCGUUAUCUUUUCUUGCAUAACUGUGAUUUUUCUCCCCUGUACGUGCUCAGGCUUGAACACACCAGAAAUGAUACUGGAGAGCACAGUGUUUAUGGCCUUCAAAGGCGGAGAGCUCACUAUUAAAUGUGUUCUCAGGAAACCAAUAAACCAAACUAAAGAUUUCCUGAGGUGCUUUAAUCCAUCAAAUGCUGAGAUAUUCAGGGUUCCCAUCCCUGAAACAGGUAGCAUAGAGACAACAACCAAACUGGAAUUGAAGUUGACAAACCUGGUAACUUCAGGAGAAUAUCAUUGCCAGUAUAAAACGGUGAAAGAGUCCUGGUUUCUUCGAGUGAGAGCUGAAGGCUACAGAAUGCCACCGAUCCCCAAUUACCCAGAGUUUAUCACCAUGGCCAUCAUCACUGGUUUUCUGCUGCUCUUCAGUGUGGUUGGUUCGGUGUAUGUCUUCAGAGGACAUUGGAGGAAUACCAAUCGUGAUGACUCUGGAAAAAAGCAGACAAAGGAAAAUCAGCAAAACCCAGAGGAAGAGGAGUAUAAUGUGGAUGUAACGGGGGCUCAGUCUACGUCUUUUUAUGCUAGUCUUGAUUCCCGGCCCAGGUCUGUUUAUGACGUGUUGGACUGCUCAGAUGCCAACAAAGAGCCAAGCAAGAACAAACUGAAACCCAAGAAAAGUGAACUUCUGAACACGGUGCAACCAAACAUAGAACAGCCAGAUGAAGGUGUUUUUGAGUCUGUUUAUGAGAACAUCUGAAUUAUGAAUGAACAGGCUUGGAAAAAGAGCAUGGUACAUGCCAUCAUUCUUCUGACAUCUAUGCCAAAAAAAUGUAUUUAUUGUAACACACACCACAGACAGACACACACACACACACACACACACACACACACACACACACACACACACACACACACACACACACACACAUUGUUCCAAUUGCUCUUCUUUAAAGAUCUGUGCUGAACUAAAUUAAUAAAUCUUAGAUGGACCCAUAAUCUUUUCGUUGC
Molecule: long non-coding RNA, 1224 nt
Filed under: Gouania willdenowi (blunt-snouted clingfish)
Lineage: Eukaryota; Metazoa; Chordata; Actinopteri; Blenniiformes; Gobiesocidae
Description: lncRNA (ENSGWIG00000021702.1)
Source: RNAcentral